GACGAACGCUUGCGGCGUGCUUAACACAUGCAAGUCGAACGGAAAGGCCCUGCUUUUGUGGGGUGCUCGAGUGGCGAACGGGUGAGUAACACGUGAGUAACCUGCCCUUGACUUUGGGAUAACUUCAGGAAACUGGGGCUAAUACCGGAUAGGAGCUCCUGCUGCAUGGUGGGGGUUGGAAAGUUUCGGCGGUUGGGGAUGGACUCGCGGCUUAUCAACUUGUUGGUGGGGUAGUGGCUUACCAAGGCUUUGACGGGUAGCCGGCCUGAGAGGGUGACCGGCCACAUUGGGACUGAGAUACGGCCCAGACUCCUACGGGAGGCAGCAGUGGGGAAUAUUGCACAAUGGGCGGAAGCCUGAUGCAGCAACGCCGCGUGCGGGAUGACGGCCUUCGGGUUGUAAACCGCUUUCGCCUGUGACGAAGCGUGAGUGACGGUAAUGGGUAAAGAAGCACCGGCUAACUACGUGCCAGCAGCCGCGGUGAUACGUAGGGUGCGAGCGUUGUCCGGAUUUAUUGGGCGUAAAGGGCUCGUAGGUGGUUGAUCGCGUCGGAAGUGUAAUCUUGGGGCUUAACCCUGAGCGUGCUUUCGAUACGGGUUGACUUGAGGAAGGUAGGGGAGAAUGGAAUUCCUGGUGGAGCGGUGGAAUGCGCAGAUAUCAGGAGGAACACCAGUGGCGAAGGCGGUUCUCUGGGCCUUUCCUGACGCUGAGGAGCGAAAGCGUGGGGAGCGAACAGGCUUAGAUACCCUGGUAGUCCACGCUGUAAACGGUGGGUACUAGGUGUGGGGUCCAUUCCACGGGUUCCGUGCCGUAGCUAACGCUUUAAGUACCCCGCCUGGGGAGUACGGCCGCAAGGCUAAAACUCAAAGGAAUUGACGGGGCCCCGCACAAGCGGCGGAGCAUGCGGAUUAAUUCGAUGCAACGCGUAGAACCUUACCUGGGUUUGACAUGGAUCGGGAGCGCUCAGAGAUGGGUGUGCCUCUUUUGGGGUCGGUUCACAGGUGGUGCAUGGCUGUCGUCAGCUCGUGUCGUGAGAUGUUGGGUUAAGUCCCGCAACGAGCGCAACCCUUGUUCACUGUUGCCAGCACGUUAUGGUGGGGACUCAGUGGAGACCGCCGGGGUCAACUCGGAGGAAGGUGGGGAUGACGUCAAGUCAUCAUGCCCCUUAUGUCCAGGGCUUCACGCAUGCUACAAUGGCUGGUACAGAGAGUGGCGAGCCUGUGAGGGUGAGCGAAUCUCGGAAAGCCGGUCUCAGUUCGGAUUGGGGUCUGCAACUCGACCUCAUGAAGUCGGAGUCGCUAGUAAUCGCAGGUCAGCAACGCUGCGGUGAAUACGUUCCCGGG
Molecule: ribosomal RNA, 1343 nt
Filed under: uncultured bacterium
Lineage: Bacteria
Description: 16S ribosomal RNA
Rfam family: Bacterial small subunit ribosomal RNA
Source: RNAcentral